AAGGUUCGACCUGAGCUCAGGCAAGGCUACCCGCUGAACUUAAGCAUAUCAAUAACGGAGGAA
Molecule: ribosomal RNA, 63 nt
Filed under: Desmodesmus regularis
Lineage: Eukaryota; Viridiplantae; Chlorophyta; Chlorophyceae; Sphaeropleales; Scenedesmaceae
Description: partial 28S ribosomal RNA
Source: RNAcentral